Helianthus annuus (common sunflower) is the source of this 389-nucleotide long non-coding RNA. RefSeq lists it as uncharacterized. The transcript is spliced from 2 exons. The record is from RefSeq and is a predicted model, not a curated record. Lineage: Eukaryota; Viridiplantae; Streptophyta; Magnoliopsida; Asterales; Asteraceae.
ACCAAAUAAUAUUACUUACAGUGUUUUUCUCCAAGGAUGUUUAAAGAAUAAGCACUAUGAUGAUGUAGAGAUGCUUUUACAGGAAAUGGAUGAUAGAGGUUACUCACUUGAUGCUUCGACUUUAUCGUUAUUUAUAGAUCAUAUCGCAGCUGGUUUACUAGAUAGAAGUAUGCUUAAGUUGUUAGGUAAGCUUGUGCCAAAAGAACUACUGAACGAUCCUAGCUUGUGCGACUGGGAGUGAAACUGAGAUAGUGAUUGUUUAGAGGAAAAAUGAAGAUUAAAACUUGUAAAAUGUGGAAAGCAGAAAAUCUCUACCAAAUUCUAUUUGGUGUUCAUGUGUUUGGUUCUAAAAUCUAGUCACUUCCUAAAGGUUAACUUUUGAUAUUUUA